UUCGGUUAAGUUAAUAAGGGCGCACGGUGGAUGCCUUGGCACUAGGAGCCGACGAAGGACGGGACUAACACCGAUAUGCUUCGGGGAGCUGUAAGUGAGCUGAUCCGAAGAUUUCCGAAUGGGGGAACCCACUGUUCGUAAUGGAACAGUAUCCUUGCUUGAAUACAUAGAGCAUGGAAGGCAGACCCAGGGAACUGAAACAUCUAAGUACCUGGAGGAAGAGAAAGCAAAUGCGAUUCCCUGAGUAGCGGCGAGCGAAACGGGAUUAGCCCAAACCAAGAGGCUUGCCUCUUGGGGUUGUAGGACACUCUAUACGGAGUUACAAAGGAACGGGGUAGACGAAGAAGUCUGGAAAGGCUCGUCAAAGAAGGUAACAACCCUGUAGUCGAAACUUCGUUCCCUCUUGAGUGGAUCCUGAGUACGGCGGGACACGUGAAAUCCCGUCGGAAGCUGGGAGGACCAUCUCCCAAGGCUAAAUACUCCCUAGUGACCGAUAGUGAACCAGUACCGUGAGGGAAAGGUGAAAAGCACCCCGGAAGGGGAGUGAAAUAGAACCUGAAACCGUGUGCCUACAAGUAGUCAGAGCCCGUUAACGGGUGAUGGCGUGCCUUUUGUAGAAUGAACCGGCGAGUUACGAUCCCAUGCAAGGUUAAGUUGAGAAGACGGAGCCGCAGCGAAAGCGAGUCUGAAUAGGGCGAAUGAGUAUGUGGUCGUAGACCCGAAACCAGGUGAUCUACCCAUGUCCAGGAUGAAGUCCAGGUAACACUGGAUGGAGGUCCGAACCCACGCACGUUGAAAAGUGCGGGGAUGAGGUGUGGGUAGCGGAGAAAUUCCAAUCGAACCUGGAGAUAGCUGGUUCUCUCCGAAAUAGCUUUAGGGCUAGCCUCAUGUUGUAAGAGUCUUGGAGGUAGAGCACUGUUUGGACUAGGGGCCCUCAUCGGGUUACCGAAUUCAGACAAACUCCGAAUGCCAAAGACUUAUCCAUGGGAGUCAGACUGCGAGUGAUAAGAUCCGUAGUCGAAAGGGAAACAGCCCAGACCACCAGCUAAGGUCCCAAAGUAUACGUUAAGUGGAAAAGGAUGUGGAGUUGCUUAGACAACCAGGAUGUUGGCUUAGAAGCAGCCACCAUUUAAAGAGUGCGUAAUAGCUCACUGGUCGAGUGACUCUGCGCCGAAAAUGUACCGGGGCUAAACGUAUCACCGAAGCUGUGGAUUGACACCGUUUGGUGUCAGUGGUAGGAGAGCGUUCUAAGGACUGCGAAGCUAGACCGUAAGGACUGGUGGAGUGCUUAGAAGUGAGAAUGCCGGUAUGAGUAGCGAAAGAUGGGUGAGAAUCCCAUCCACCGAAUGCCUAAGGUUUCCUGAGGAAGGCUCGUCCGCUCAGGGUUAGUCGGGACCUAAGUCGAGGCCGAUAGGCGUAGACGAUGGACAACAGGUUGAUAUUCCUGUACCACCUUUCUUCCAUUUGAGCAAUGGGGGGACGCAGGAGGAUAGGGUAAGCGCACUGCUGGAUAUGUGCGUCUAAGCAGUUAGGCUGAYGAUGAGGCAAAUCCCAUCRUCGUGAAGGCUGAGCUGUGAUAGCGAGCGAAUUAUAGUAGCGAAGUUCCUGAUUCCACACUGCCAAGAAAAGCCUCUAGCGAGGAAGAUGGUGCCCGUACCGCAAACCGACACAGGUAGGCGAGGAGAGAAUCCUAAGGUGAGCGAGAGAACUCUCGUUAAGGAACUCGGCAAAAUGACCCCGUAACUUCGGGAGAAGGGGUGCUCUGGUAGGGUGCAAGCCCGAGAGAGCCGCAGUGAAUAGGCCCAGGCGACUGUUUAGCAAAAACACAGGUCUCUGCGAAGCCGUAAGGCGAAGUAUAGGGGCUGACGCCUGCCCGGUGCUGGAAGGUUAAGAGGAGUGCUUAGCGCAAGCGAAGGUGCGAAUCGAAGCCCCAGUAAACGGCGGCCGUAACUAUAACGGUCCUAAGGUAGCGAAAUUCCUUGUCGGGUAAGUUCCGACCCGCACGAAAGGCGUAACGAUCUGGGCACUGUCUCAACGAGAGACUCGGUGAAAUUAUAGUACCUGUGAAGAUGCAGGUUACCCGCGACAGGACGGAAAGACCCCGUGGAGCUUUACUGUAGCCUGAUAUUGAAUUUUGGCACAGCUUGUACAGGAUAGGUAGGAGCCUUGGAAGCCGGAGCGCUAGCUUCGGUGGAGGCGUCGGUGGGAUACUACCCUGGCUGUGUUGACAUUCUAACCCGCGCCCCUUAUCGGGGUGGGAGACAGUGUCAGGUGGGCAGUUUGACUGGGGCGGUCGCCUCCUAAAGAGUAACGGAGGCGCCCAAAGGUUCCCUCAGAAUGGUUGGAAAUCAUUCGCAGAGUGUAAAGGCACAAGGGAGCUUGACUGCGAGACCUACAAGUCGAGCAGGGACGAAAGUCGGGCUUAGUGAUCCGGUGGUUCCGCAUGGAAGGGCCAUCGCUCAACGGAUAAAAGCUACCCCGGGGAUAACAGGCUUAUCUCCCCCAAGAGUCCACAUCGACGGGGAGGUUUGGCACCUCGAUGUCGGCUCAUCGCAUCCUGGGGCUGUAGUCGGUCCCAAGGGUUGGGCUGUUCGCCCAUUAAAGCGGUACGCGAGCUGGGUUCAGAACGUCGUGAGACAGUUCGGUCCCUAUCCGUCGUGGGCGCAGGAAAUUUGAGAGGAGCUGUCCUUAGUACGAGAGGACCGGGAUGGACGCACCGCUGGUGUACCAGUUGUCUUGCCAAAGGCAUCGCUGGGUAGCUAUGUGCGGAAGGGAUAAGUGCUGAAAGCAUCUAAGCAUGAAGCCCCCCUCGAGAUGAGAUUUCCCAUCACUUUAUGUGAGUAAGAUCCCUGAAAGAUGAUCAGGUAGAUAGGUCAGAGGUGGAAGUGUGGCAGUACGAGAGGACCGGGAUGGACGCACCGCUGGUGUACCAGUUGUCUUGCCAAAGGCAUCGCUGGGUAGCUAUGUGCGGAAGGGAUAAGUGCUGAAAGCAUCUAAGCAUGAAGCCCCCCUCGAGAUGAGAUUUCCCAUCACUUUAUGUGAGUAAGAUCCCUGAAAGAUGAUCAGGUAGAUAGGUCAGAGGUGGAAGUGUGGCGACACAUGGAGCUGACUGAUACUAAUCGAUCGAGGACUUAACCAAA
RNAcentral lists this ribosomal RNA (3140 nucleotides) under Rossellomorea marisflavi. RNAcentral describes it as "Bacillus marisflavi 23S ribosomal RNA". It matches the Rfam family "Bacterial large subunit ribosomal RNA". Lineage: Bacteria; Bacillati; Bacillota; Bacilli; Caryophanales; Bacillaceae. The record is from RNAcentral.